Microcebus murinus (gray mouse lemur) is the source of this 335-nucleotide non-coding RNA. NCBI's taxonomy places the organism in Eukaryota, Metazoa, Chordata, Mammalia, Primates, Cheirogaleidae. The record is from RefSeq and is a predicted model, not a curated record.
AGGAUUCUAAUACUGGAUCCCCAUGACUAGUGUGGAACUUUGAAACAGUGAUUCCUCCCCCCAGGUCUCAGUUAAAUCAUCUGUCAAAUGAGGAUGAUCACAUCUUCCCUACUUCACCACUGGGCUGUGAGAUGAACCAGAGCCCCUACCUUUUUUCCCUGAUGACCUCCUACUCAUCCCUGGAGCAUCAAUUCAAAUGUCAUCUCCUCCAUGAAGCCUUUCAUUACUUUCCCAGUCAUACGGACCAGGAAGAUCACAGAGUGAGAAGCUCCUAAGGGGCCACCAGUUCACAAUUAGCCAUUCAAUAAAUACUUCCGUAAUGAAGGAUGAAUGAA